Molecule: ribosomal RNA, 497 nt
Filed under: uncultured bacterium
Lineage: Bacteria
Description: partial 16S ribosomal RNA
Rfam family: Bacterial small subunit ribosomal RNA
Source: RNAcentral
GAUGAACGCUGGCGGCGUGCCUAAUACAUGCAAGUCGAGCGAACAGACGAGGAGCUUGCUCCUCUGACGUUAGCGGCGGACGGGUGAGUAACACGUGGAUAACCUACCUAUAAGACUGGUAUAACUUCGGGAAACCGGAGCUAAUACCGGAUAAUAUAUUGAACCGCAUGGUUCAAUAGUGAAAGACGGUUUUGCUGUCACUUAUAGAUGGAUCCGCGCCGCAUUAGCUAGUUGGUAAGGUAACGGCUUAUCAAGGCAACGAUGCGUAGCCGACCUGAGAGGGUGAUAGGCCACACUGGAACUGAGACACGGUCCAGACUACUACGGGAGGCAGCAGUAGGGAAUCUUCCGCAAUGGGCGAAAGCCUGACGGAGCAACGCCGCGUGAGUGAUGAAGGUCUUCGGAUCGUAAAACUCUGUUAUUAGGGAAGAACAAAUGUGUAAGUAACUAUGCACGUCUUGACGGUACCUAAUCAGAAAGCAACGGCUAACUACGUG